RNAcentral lists this transfer RNA (74 nucleotides) under Sphaerodactylus townsendi. Its description in RNAcentral is "tRNA-Ala". Lineage: Eukaryota; Metazoa; Chordata; Lepidosauria; Squamata; Sphaerodactylidae. The record is from RNAcentral.
GGUCAUGGCUCAGUGGCAGAACGUCAGCUUGGCAUGCAGAAUGUCCAGGGUUCAAUCUCCAGGUAAAAGGACCA